GAGGAGGUUAAUGACAGUCGAGGGGCAUCGGGAGGGAGCUUGCUUUCCUUGCCGGCGACCGGCGCACGGGUGAGUCCUUGUAUGCAACCUGCCCUCUUCAGGGGGACAACCUUCCGACCGGGAGGCUAAUCCCGCGUAUAUCGGUUUCGGGCAUCCGAGAUCGAGGAAAGAUUCAUCGGAAGAGGAUGGGCAUGCGGCGCAUUAGCUUGACGGCGGGGUAACGGCCCACCGUGGCGACGAUGCGUAGGGGUUCUGAGAGGAAGGUCCCCCACACUGGUACUGAGACACGGACCAGACUCCUACGGGAGGCAGCAGUGAGGAAUAUUGGUCAAUGGGAGAGAUCCUGAACCAGCCAAGCCGCGUGAGGGAAGACGGCCCUAUGGGUUGUAAACCUCUUUUGUCGGAGAACAAAACCCGGGACGUGUCCCGGACUGCGUGUAACCGAAGAAAAAGCAUCGGCUAACUCCGUGCCAGCAGCCGCGGUAAUACGGAGGAUGCGAGCGUUAUCCGGAUUUAUUGGGUUUAAAGGGUGCGUAGGCGGUCCGUUAAGUCAGCGGUAAAAUUGCGGGGCUCAACCCCGUCGAGCCGUUGAAACUGGCAGACUUGAGUUGGCGAGAAGUACGCGGAAUGCGCGGUGUAGCGGUGAAAUGCAUAGAUAUCGCGCAGAACUCCGAUUGCGAAGGCAGCGUACCGGCGCCAGACUGAUGCUGAGGGACGAAAGCGUGAGGAUCGAACAGGAUUAGAUACCCU
RNAcentral lists this ribosomal RNA (750 nucleotides) under uncultured bacterium. Its description in RNAcentral is "bacterial SSU rRNA". It matches the Rfam family "Bacterial small subunit ribosomal RNA", at positions 45 to 788 of the family's 1533-position model. The record is from RNAcentral.